CGCGGCCUAUCAGCUUGUUGGUGGGGUAAUGGCCUACCGAGGCGACGACGGGUAGCCGGCCUGAGAGGGUGUCCGGCCACACUGGGACUGAGAUACGGCCCAGACUCCUACGGGAGGCAGCAGUGGGGAAUAUUGCACAAUGGGCGCAAGCCUGAUGCAGCGACGCCGCGUGGGGGAUGACGGCCUUCGGGUUGUAAACCUCUUUCAGUAGGGACGAAGCGUAAGUGACGGUACCUACAGAAGGAGCACCGGCCAACUACGUGCCAGCAGCCGCGGUAAUACGUAGGGUGCGAGCGUUGUCCGGAAUUACUGGGCGUAAAGAGCUCGUAGGUGGUUUGUCGCGUUGUUCGUGAAAUCUCACAACUCAAUUGUGAGCGUGCGGGCGAUACGGGCAGACUGGAGUACUGCAGGGGAGACUGGAAUUCCUGGUGUAGCGGUGGAAUGCGCAGAUAUCAGGAGGAACACCGGUGGCGAAGGCGGGUCUCUGGGCAGUAACUGACGCUGAGGAGCGAAAGCGUGGGGAGCGAACAGGAUUAGAUACCCUGGUAGUCCACGCCGUAAACGGUGGGUACUAGGUGUGGGUUUCCUUCCUUGGGAUCCGUGCCGUAGCUAACGCAUUAAGUACCCCGCCUGGGGA
This 637-nucleotide ribosomal RNA is filed under the name uncultured bacterium. Its description in RNAcentral is "bacterial SSU rRNA". It matches the Rfam family "Bacterial small subunit ribosomal RNA", at positions 232 to 879 of the family's 1533-position model. The record is from RNAcentral.